CUGCUGUGAUGACUUCUUAGGACACCUUUGGAUAAACCAUGAAAACAAACAUAAAGACCUGAGCUGC
Amphiprion ocellaris (clown anemonefish) is the source of this 67-nucleotide small nucleolar RNA. Its record names the gene SNORD58. It matches the Rfam family "Small nucleolar RNA SNORD58". From Rfam's summary of the family: snoRNA U58 is found in introns 1, 3 and 6 of the ribosomal protein RPL17 gene in humans. The record is from Ensembl. NCBI's taxonomy places the organism in Eukaryota, Metazoa, Chordata, Actinopteri, Pomacentridae.